RNAcentral lists this ribosomal RNA (119 nucleotides) under Trypanosoma theileri. The record is from RNAcentral. Lineage: Eukaryota; Euglenozoa; Kinetoplastea; Trypanosomatida; Trypanosomatidae.
GGGUACGGCCAUACUUGGCCGAAUGCACCAUAUCCCGUCCGAUGUGUGAAGUUAAGCGGACACAGGUCUCGUUAGCACGGCGAUCGCUUACGGUGCUGGAACCCGGGGUGCCGUACCCU